AAAUAGUGGAAGUGAUCGGGGAAAAGAGAAAGUUAUCGACUAAAUUACAAAAAUAGUCGUUUUGCAUCCGAGGUAAGUUACGUGUAAAUAAUAGUUAUAUUUUUAUAAAUUGUGAAUUAUAUUUGAUAUGUGAAUUAAUAUUCAAUGUGGAAGGAAAAUUAUUCAUGAAUUAUUCAAGUGUUAAACUGUUUAAAAUAAAGUGUUAAGUGUAAGUUCUCGGUUGAACUUAGGAAUAGAAGUGGAUACAAGUGACAUGUCACUAGAGAUCAGUGUUACAGUGUUACAAUGAGUCCCGGGUGCUAAGUGAUCUAACAUGUGUUGCAGACACCUGACAGCUUGUGUGAGCAGGCCCGUGGACAUUUCCAGUGUUAUUGAUCAGUGGUAGCUUUGGCUACAUUUCAGUGGUAGCUUCGGCUACAUAACAGUGGUAGCUUCGGCUACAUAUCAGUGUUGCACUUAUGUGCUAAAUCUCUACGUAUCUGUGUAUAUUCCGAGUGUUCAACGGGAUUAAUAAUGAGUUAAAGUGAAUAUGAAAUGAAGUGUGUAUGCAGGUACAUUUGAAAAGAAUGAGCAUAAGUGAUAAAGGUUAAGUGUGAAAAUGUAUAUGCAAGUGAAUUGGUAAGAUUGUGCACGUGUAAGUGAUUGAAAUUGCUAGGAAAUGUUUUGAUUAGUUAUAUGUUAAAAGUGUUAAUUAUUAAAUGAGUAAUUAUUGUUUACAUGUAACUUACUAAGCUAUUAGUAGCUUACACCUUUAUUCUUUUCCUUUGUUUUAUAGUGAUUUGAACUUGAUCGAAUUGGGGAUCGUCGGAGCUCGUAUCACACUAUCAUAAUCAUCUCGGUAUUAUGUGCUUUUCAAAAUGUUUAAACUAUGGCAUGUAUAGAGUCUUAAUCAUUUUGAGCAUGUUCAAAUGAUAUGGCUAAUAUUAGCUAUUGAAGUAGCUAUUAAAGAAUAUGUUUUGGUGUUAUGUAUGUUAAAAUGGUAACUAAUUCAAAG
This 994-nucleotide long non-coding RNA is filed under the name Gossypium raimondii (Peruvian cotton). RNAcentral's name for it is "long non-coding RNA (GRAI_LNC004867)". Lineage: Eukaryota; Viridiplantae; Streptophyta; Magnoliopsida; Malvales; Malvaceae. The record is from RNAcentral.